Molecule: long non-coding RNA, 643 nt
Organism: Gavialis gangeticus (Gharial)
Lineage: Eukaryota; Metazoa; Chordata; Crocodylia; Gavialidae
Exons: 3
Source: RefSeq, a predicted model, not a curated record
GAUCCUUAUGGCCUUCAUGAUUCUGAAAGCCAGAUGUAAAUCUACAAAGCACAAGGAAGCCUUCGGAGUAGAAGACUUUUACUGAUUCACAGUUUGGCUGUAAGGUGCUCAACUGAAUUGCUGAAGAGUUACAUUAGACAUUUCCUAGACCUUCAGGCUGGGAGGAAGCCUUUUGAUCAUCUAUUUGAUCACCUAUCCUGCAAAACCAGAAGUCCAAGAAAUCCACCCAUUACUCCUAAAGAAGAGGGAAUUAUUCUCCUUUACUAUCAAGCCCUGUAACUUGGGAUUGCAUUAGAAGCGGUGCCUUUUAGAUAGACAUCCAAACUUGAAUUCAAGACUCCAAGAAACGGGGAGCUCCCUGAUCUGUUGCAGCAAUUAAUUGUCCUUGUGAGUAUCAACCAGUGUCUUUAUUUGCACUUCAGGUUGGGCACUUGAAAUCAGUAUGACAUUUGGUAAGUUUGGGCCUUUCUUAUGCAUCUAAAAUGACACAUAGAAACAGAGUUAUAAAGAGGAUCAUAGAUACCCCAAGUCUCAUUGCCCUAUUCUAAGCAACAGACCAGAGUCCCCUCAUAAAACAAAAGGAUUUAUGAGUAGAUUAUACUGUAAUUUAGUUCAAAGUUUUCUCCAGUAAAAAAAAUCUUUC